GCUGGCUGCAGCGGCGGCGGGGACCGUGGGGCCGAGGUGGCUGCCAGCCGGCCAAUGUCUAAGCGAGGCGGAGCGGCCCAGGCGGCCCGAGCCUGGGGGAGCGCGCAGCCGGCCAGUGGCGGCCUCGCCGGCGGCCUCUUCCCGGGCUCGCAGUAGGCCCGAGUCGUCGCCGGGAGCUCCUGGGAGCAGCGUCCCCGCCCUGCUCCCCUCGCUCCCGCCUCUUGCGGCCCCACGGCCCCUCAGCGCCCGCCCCCGGCUCCGCCCGCCGCAGCCGCAGCCCCUGGCGCUAACGGUCGGUAACGGCCCGCGCGCGCCGCCCGCCGGGGGCUCGCGCCAGCCACGAGGGAGCGUCCGCGGCCCGCGCGCCCGCGCGGCGGAGGAGAGGUGUUAAGUGUGAUGCUUCCAUAAUACAUUUGGAUGCUGUCAGCUAAGUUCACUUCUGAACUAAGGGGUUCCUCCAAAUGUUGGCUGAAAUUCAUCCCAAGGCUGGUCUGCAAAGUCUGCAAUUCAUAAUGGAGCUACUGUACUGGCUAUUGGAAGGAGGAGAUUCUGAAGAUAAGGAGGUAAAACCUGUUUAGAAAUUAAAAAUGAGUUACGAUUUAAAGAAAAUUCAGAUGACUCAUUGUGAGUGCUAGUUCUCUUGUAGGAUGCCACUGGAAAUGUUGAAAUGAAAAAUAUUCAGCCGUUGGUCUUUGAAAUUUCCUGUGAUGUGUUUCAAUCUAGAUGCAAAGAACAUGGAAAAAUCAAAGUGCUCGAGUGGUUUAAAUAUGUUUUGGGUAUUCCUGUUUAUAGACUAUAAUACUUUUCCAAUUAAAAUCCUCAGUUGUCA
This 829-nucleotide long non-coding RNA is filed under the name Homo sapiens (human). RNAcentral describes it as "non-protein coding lnc-IRX3-80:16". The record is from RNAcentral. Lineage: Eukaryota; Metazoa; Chordata; Mammalia; Primates; Hominidae.